Bufo bufo (common toad) is the source of this 397-nucleotide long non-coding RNA. RefSeq lists it as uncharacterized. The transcript has 3 exons. The record is from RefSeq and is a predicted model, not a curated record. NCBI's taxonomy places the organism in Eukaryota, Metazoa, Chordata, Amphibia, Anura, Bufonidae.
ACAAAUAGGUCACAGCAGCUCGUAAUCCGUGUUGGCUCUGAAGUCACUCUCACCCCCCAGAUAGUCAUUGAUGGAAGUGACAAAAUCACGAUUUAUCUAGAUAUUUUGUAUGACACAGUCAUUACACGUUAUAGCUCAUUGAGGUCAAGCAGAAAACCAACUACAUUUAGCCUUAAUGUUGAAUUUGCCACUACUACCACCAUAGAUGAAGGAAAUGGACAAUCUACCCUCUAUUCUGGUCCAUUGAGCGCUCUCAUUCUCCUGGCUCUGCUUCCGAUUUUGCUUCUCAAGUGAUUGAUAAGAGACUGAUGACCGAGGCUAUUAAAUGGCAUUUCCUUCAUUUUUAUGACAAUACUGUAUUGUCUCUUCUCAGAUCACCUCGUCACUUCAAUCAAAU